AUGUGUACAACUCCAGUAAACACACUGCACGUGCUCCCCUCCCAAGGGCUACCAGGCCACUGUGCAUGUGGACAGCCCACCCCGAGGGAAGAAUCAGGAGAGAAGUAACACAGGACCCCAGAAGUAUGCCAGUAUAUAAAACUCCAAGUCAAAAUGUCAAACCAUGCACUUGACUCUCUCAAGUCGCCUGCUGGCCCUCUUCCAAGUGUAUGUUACUUCUUCGUAUUCCUGCUUCAAAACUUUGUAAUAAACGUUCACUACUGCUCUAAAACUUACCUCAGUUCCUGUUUCUGCCUUAGGCCCCUCAGUCUAAUUCUUCCUUCUGAGGAGGCAAGAAUCGAGAUUGCUGCCGACCCUCAUGGAUAUGGAUUUGCUGCCGAAUGAAAAGUCCAAAAGUAAAAAACCUAGGAUUGGUACUGUGUCUCCAUGAUGCCAGCAGAGAAAUGGACUCGUAUCUUUCCACUAAGCCACCCUGGCAUGUGCUUUUCAUCCUUGGGAUUAUGAGACGGCUGCUUUGCUUCCAGAAUUGAGUCCGUGUUUCAGGCAGGAAGAAAUGAAAGAGCCAAGGACGAAAUGUCCAUGCCAGCCAAGUCUGCCCUCUCCCUCCCUUCCCAUGCAUCCACAUAUUUUAAAGAACAUUCCUGGAAGUCCCAUCAAAAACUGCCCCCUCCCUUUUUUUUUCAGUUGCCAGAACUAGGUCAGAUGAUGACUUGUAUCCAGGAAUUCAGCAGUGUUUGUUUAAUCUUUCCCCCAAGCUGGGGUUAUGUAGACAGGAAUAAGAAUGGAUACUGGGAAGAGAUCGGUAGGUUUUCGUAGCUGGCAAACAAUGAUGAUAACAAUAUUGAUGAUGAUCAUAAUAAAAAUCAUCACAGUUA
This is an RNA transcript of Macaca mulatta (Rhesus monkey), 875 nucleotides long. RefSeq lists it as uncharacterized. Lineage: Eukaryota; Metazoa; Chordata; Mammalia; Primates; Cercopithecidae. The record is from RefSeq and is a predicted model, not a curated record.